Molecule: ribosomal RNA, 62 nt
Filed under: Phomopsis sp. 1 R4
Lineage: Eukaryota; Fungi; Ascomycota; Sordariomycetes; Diaporthales; Diaporthaceae
Description: partial 28S ribosomal RNA
Rfam family: Eukaryotic large subunit ribosomal RNA
Source: RNAcentral
UUGACCUCGGAUCAGGUAGGAAUACCCGCUGAACUUAAGCAUAUCAAUAAGCGGAGGAACUU